GAACCCUUCGGGUUAGUGGCGGACGGGUGAGCAACGCGUGGGAAUCUGCCCUCAGGAGGGGGAUAACGGCUGGAAACGGCCGCUAAUACCCCAUAUGCCGAGAGGUGAAAUGAAUUUCGCCUGAGGAUGAGCCCGCGUCUGAUUAGCUAGUUGGUGAGGUAAGAGCUCACCAAGGCAUCGAUCAGUAGCAGGUCUGAGAGGAUGAUCAGCCACACUGGGACUGAGACACGGCCCAGACUCCUACGGGAGGCAGCAGUGGGGAAUUUUCCGCAAUGGGCGAAAGCCUGACGGAGCAACGCCGCGUGAGGGAUGAAGGCCUCUGGGCUGUAAACCUCUUUUCUCAAGGAAGAAGAUCUGACGGUACUUGAGGAAUAAGCCACGGCUAAUUCCGUGCCAGCAGCCGCGGUAAUACAGGAGUGGCAAGCGUUAUCCGGAAUUAUUGGGCGUAAAGCGUCCGCAGGCGGCCCUUCAAGUCUGCUGUUAAAAAGUGGAGCUUAACUCCAUCAUGGCAGUGGAAACUGUUGGGCUUGAGUGUGGUAGGGGCAGAGGGAAUUCCCGGUGUAGCGGUGAAAUGCGUAGAUAUCGGGAAGAACACCAGUGGCGAAGGCGCUCUGCUGGGCCAUAACUGACGCUCAUGGACGAAAGCCAGGGGAGCGAAAGGGAUUAGAUACCCCUGUAGUCCUGGCCGUAAACGAUGAACACUAGGUGUCGGGGGAAUCGACCCCCUCGGUGUCGUAGCCAACGCGUUAAGUGUUCCGCCUGGGGAGUACGCACGCAAGUGUGAAACUCAAAGGAAUUGACGGGGGCCCGCACAAGCGGUGGAGUAUGUGGGUUUAAUUCGAUGCAACGCGAAGAACCUUACCAGGGUUUGACAUCCUGCGAACCUCUUGGAAACGAAGAGGGUGCCUUCGGGAACGCAGUGACAGGUGGUGCAUGGCUGUCGUCAGCUCGUGUCGUGAAAAUGUUUGGGUUAAGUCCCGCAACGAGCGCAACCCACGUCUUUAGUUG
Molecule: ribosomal RNA, 1008 nt
Filed under: uncultured marine bacterium
Lineage: Bacteria
Description: bacterial SSU rRNA
Rfam family: Bacterial small subunit ribosomal RNA
Source: RNAcentral